UUCAAACUGCUGAAUGCCCUAUUCCAUAUGAUAGACUGUCUAUCUUUCCCUGAAAAAGCGUAUACUUUUGUUCAAUAAGCAAAUAAAGCAUACUUCUUUUGCGGAUCAAGCAGUCUUCUACCUUGGUGGGUAGCGGAGAAUCAAAUCAAUAUCGGAGUAUUGCUCUAGCUGCUGCUGAAUUAACCUGGAUUCAAUCGUGACUCUCUGAACUAGGCUGUACUUCGUCUUCCCCUCUGGAC
This 239-nucleotide long non-coding RNA is filed under the name Hordeum vulgare. RNAcentral describes it as "long non-coding RNA (HVUL_LNC016792)". The record is from RNAcentral. Lineage: Eukaryota; Viridiplantae; Streptophyta; Magnoliopsida; Poales; Poaceae.